CUGCGCGGAAGAUGUAACGGGGCUAAACCAUGCACCGAAGCUGCGGCAGCGACGCUUAUGCGUUGUUGGGUAGGGGAGCGUUCUGUAAGCCUGUGAAGGUGUACUGUGAGGUAUGCUGGAGGUAUCAGAAGUGCGAAUGCUGACAUAAGUAACGAUAAAGCGGGUGAAAAGCCCGCUCGCCGGAAGACCAAGGGUUCCUGUCCAACGUUAAUCGGGGCAGGGUGAGUCGACCCCUAAGGCGAGGCCGAAAGGCGUAGUCAAUGGGAAACAGGUUAAUAUUCCUGUACUUGGUGUUACUGCGAAGGGGGGACGGAGAAGGCUAUGUUGGCCGGGCGACGGUUGUCCCGGUUUAAGCGUGUAGGCUGGUUUUCCAGGCAAAUCCGGAAAAUCAAGGCUGAGGCGUGAUGACGAGGCACUACGGUGCUGAAGCAACAAAUGCCCUGCUUCCAGGAAAAGCCUCUAAGCAUCAGGUAACAUCAAAUCGUACCCCAAACCG
This 496-nucleotide ribosomal RNA is filed under the name Escherichia coli. Its description in RNAcentral is "bacterial LSU rRNA". It matches the Rfam family "Bacterial large subunit ribosomal RNA", at positions 1159 to 1656 of the family's 2925-position model. Lineage: Bacteria; Pseudomonadati; Pseudomonadota; Gammaproteobacteria; Enterobacterales; Enterobacteriaceae. The record is from RNAcentral.